GGGGUUGGAGCUCAAUGGUAGAGCGCUUGCCUAGAAAGCAUGAGGCACUGGGUUCGAUCCCCGGCACCACA
This 71-nucleotide transfer RNA is filed under the name Marmota monax (woodchuck). RNAcentral describes it as "tRNA.Ser". It matches the Rfam family "tRNA". Rfam says of the family: Transfer RNA (tRNA) molecules are approximately 80 nucleotides in length. Their secondary structure includes four short double-helical elements and three loops (D, anti-codon, and T loops). The record is from RNAcentral. Lineage: Eukaryota; Metazoa; Chordata; Mammalia; Rodentia; Sciuridae.